Molecule: ribosomal RNA, 231 nt
Filed under: uncultured bacterium
Lineage: Bacteria
Description: partial 16S ribosomal RNA
Rfam family: Bacterial small subunit ribosomal RNA
Source: RNAcentral
GACGAACGCUGGCGGCGUGCUUAACACAUGCAAGUCGAGCGGUAAGGCCCUUUCGGGGGUACGACGAGCGGCGAACGGGUGAGUAACACGUGGGUGACCUGCCCUCAGCUCUGGGAUAAGCCCGGGAAACUGGGUCUAAUACUGGAUAUGACUCCAUGACGCAUGUUGUGGGGUGGAAAGCCUUGUGCGGCUGAGGAUGGGCCCGCGGCCUAUCAGCUUGUUGGGGGGUGA